UGGGGAAUUUUGGACAAUGGGCGCAAGCCUGAUCCAGCCAUGCCGCGUGCGGGAAGAAGGCCUUCGGGUUGUAAACCGCUUUUGUCAGGGAAGAAAUCUUCUGAGUUAAUACCUCGGGAGGAUGACGGUACCUGAAGAAUAAGCACCGGCUAACUACGUGCCAGCAGCCGCGGUAAUACGUAGGGUGCAAGCGUUAAUCGGAAUUACUGGGCGUAAAGCGUGCGCAGGCGGUUUUGUAAGACAGAGGUGAAAUCCCCGGGCUCAACCUGGGAACUGCCUUUGUGACUGCAAGGCUUGAGUGCGGCAGAGGGGGAUGGAAUUCCGCGUGUAGCAGUGAAAUGCGUAGAUAUGCGGAGGAACACCGAUGGCGAAGGCAAUCCCCUGGGCCUGCACUGACGCUCAUGCACGAAAGCGUGGGGAGCAAAACAGGAUUAGAUACCCUGGUAGUCCACGCCCUAAACGAUGUCAACUGGUUGUUGGGAAGGUUCCUUCUCAGUAACGUAGCUAACGCGUGAAAGUUGACCGCCUGGGGAGUACGGCCGCAAGGUUG
Molecule: ribosomal RNA, 550 nt
Filed under: uncultured bacterium
Lineage: Bacteria
Description: partial 16S ribosomal RNA
Rfam family: Bacterial small subunit ribosomal RNA
Source: RNAcentral